UGAGCUUGAUCCCUGGCUCAGAGCGAACGCUGGCGGCAGGCCUAACACAUGCAAGUCGAACGGACUCUUCGGAGUUAGUGGCGGACGGGUGAGUAACACGUGGGAACGUGCCUUUAGGUUCGGAAUAGCUCCUGGAAACGGGUGGUAAUGCCGAAUGUGCCCUUCGGGGGAAAGAUUUAUCGCCUUUAGAGCGGCCCGCGUCUGAUUAGCUAGUUGGUGAGGUAAAGGCUCACCAAGGCGACGAUCAGUAGCUGGUCUGAGAGGAUGACCAGCCACAUUGGGACUGAGACACGGCCCAAACUCCUACGGGAGGCAGCAGUGGGGAAUCUUGCGCAAUGGGCGAAAGCCUGACGCAGCCAUGCCGCGUGAAUGAUGAAGGUCUUAGGAUUGUAAAAUUCUUUCACCGGGGACGAUAAUGACGGUACCCGGAGAAGAAGCCCCCGGCUAACU
Molecule: ribosomal RNA, 450 nt
Filed under: Brevundimonas sp. BF.11
Lineage: Bacteria; Pseudomonadati; Pseudomonadota; Alphaproteobacteria; Caulobacterales; Caulobacteraceae
Description: bacterial SSU rRNA
Rfam family: Bacterial small subunit ribosomal RNA
Source: RNAcentral